Molecule: long non-coding RNA, 842 nt
Organism: Etheostoma spectabile (orangethroat darter)
Lineage: Eukaryota; Metazoa; Chordata; Actinopteri; Perciformes; Percidae
Exons: 2
Source: RefSeq, a predicted model, not a curated record
ACUGAAGACAGAGGACAUUCAGAAACCGGAUCAGAGGACAUUCAGAAACCGGAUCAGAGGACAUUCAGAAACCGGAUCUCACUCAAAACACCAUGGGUAGUGUUUUUUCUAAGUGUGUAUGAUGUGGAAGCACCAGAGACACAAAAUAACCCCCCAAAUCCCAGAAAAAGUGAUUUUUUUUUUUUCAUCAUAACGUGGGCACUUUAAUAACUGAGUUGUUUUUCAUGUGAAAGCAAGUCACGUUUGUUUUUUUGUUUGUUGUGAUUUGAUUUUAACGUGUGGAAAAAAAUCUGCAUCACACACAUGGAAAUGCAUCUUACUAUGCGUAUUGUAUUUAAUUUUUUUUUUUACAGGCCUUUGACAUCAUCCAUAUUAUUCAAAUAUGAUCUAUUAUCAAAAUACAAAGAAAUACACACGGCUGUCUCGUUCCCUAGCAUCCUUUUUAUUUCUGCGUAGACGUGACAAAAGAACAUUUGUGUGAAUAAUUGUCAUGCAGCAGCUGCCGUGUGCCUCCUGAUGAUUGGCGCCUCUUUAUUCUGCCCAUUAAAUGUGUCAUUAUGUUCAUAAUGAGGUUUAAUUUUGGCUCGAUGAAACAUGAACAUUUUGUCAAACUGCAUUCGUGUCAAGGAUUUUAGUUUUUUAAUUUAUAAAGCAGGGUGGGUUAAAAUGUGUUUAAUGUCAACUGUUGAUUAGAGGAUAUAUGAGCAUUUAUACUUACAAACACUCUGUAAAUGAAUUGUGGUUAUUAGAAGAUCUGCAACAUUAGGGUUGGGGUUUCUGGGUUUCAGCGCUGUUUAAGUCACCAAAGUGUAAAUGAAUCCUUUAUCUUCUCCCAUGCUACA